Molecule: ribosomal RNA, 375 nt
Filed under: uncultured organism
Description: partial 16S ribosomal RNA
Rfam family: Bacterial small subunit ribosomal RNA
Source: RNAcentral
GGGGGGUGCAAGCGUUUAUUCGGAAUCACUGGGCGUAAAGAGCGCGUAGGCGGUCUCUUAAGUCAGAUGUGAAAGCCCGGGGCUCAACCCCGGAAGUGCAUUUGAAACGAAGGGACUUGAGUAUGGGAGAGGGAAGUGGAAUUCCUGGUGUAGCGGUGAAAUGCGUAGAUAUCAGGAGGAACACCGGUGGCGAUGGCGACUUCCUGGACCAAUACUGACGCUGAGGCGCGAAGGCGUGGGGAGCAAACAGGAUUAGAUACCCUGGUAGUCCACGCAGUAAACGUUGAACACUAGGUGUAGCGGGUAUUGACCCCCCUGCUGUGCCCGCAGCUAACGCAUUAAGUGUUCCGCCUGGGGAGUACGGCCGCAAGGCUA